UACGGACGGGGCAAGCGUUGUUCGGAAUCAUUGGGCGUAAAGGGCGCGUAGGUGGUUCUGUAUGUCUACCGUGAAAGCGUACGGCUCAACCGUAUUUUGUCGGUAGAAACUGCAGGACUUGAGGCUGGGAGGGGCUGGUGGAAUUCCCUGUGUAGCGGUGAAAUGCGUAGAGAUGGGGGAGAACACUCGUGGCGAAGGCGGCCAGCUAGACCAGUUCUGACACUGAGGCGCGACAGCGUGGGGAGCAAACAGG
Molecule: ribosomal RNA, 253 nt
Filed under: uncultured bacterium
Lineage: Bacteria
Description: partial 16S ribosomal RNA
Rfam family: Bacterial small subunit ribosomal RNA
Source: RNAcentral